AAGUGACGCGGUAGAGGAGCGUUCUGUAAGCCUGUGAAGGUGAGUUGAGAAGCUUGCUGGAGGUAUCAGAAGUGCGAAUGCUGACAUGAGUAACGACAAUGGGUGUGAAAAACACCCACGCCGAAAGACCAAGGGUUCCUGCGCAACGUUAAUCGACGCAGGGUUAGUCGGUUCCUAAGGCGAGGCUGAAAAGCGUAGUCGAUGGGAAACAGGUUAAUAUUCCUGUACUUCUGGUUACUGCGAUGGAGGGACGGAGAAGGCUAGGCCAGCUUGGCGUUGGUUGUCCAAGUUUAAGGUGGUAGGCUGAAAUCUUAGGUAAAUCCGGGGUUUCAAGGCCGAGAGCUGAUGACGAGUCGUCUUUUAGAUGACGAAGUGGUUGAUGCCAUGCUUCCAAGAAAAGCUUCUAAGCUUCAGGUAACCAGGAACCGUACCCCAAACCGACACAGGUGGUCGGGUAGAGAAUACCAAGGCGCUUGAGAGAACUCGGGUGAAGGAACUAGGCAAAAUGGCACCGUAACUUCGGGAGAAGGUGCGCCGGCUAGGGUGAAGGAUUUACUCCGUAAGCUCUGGCUGGUCGAAGAUACCAGGCCGCUGCGACUGUUUAUUAAAAACACAGCACUCUGCAAACACGAAAGUGGACGUAUAGGGUGUGACGCCUGCCCGGUGCCGGAAGGUUAAUUGAUGGGGUUAGCGCAAGCGAAGCUCUUGAUCGAAGCCCCGGUAAACGGCGGCCGUAACUAUAACGGUCCUAAGGUAGCGAAAUUCCUUGUCGGGUAAGUUCCGACCUGCACGAAUGGCGUAACGAUGGCGGCGCUGUCUCCACCCGAGACUCAGUGAAAUUGAAAUCGCUGUGAAGAUGCAGUGUAUCCGCGGCUAGACGGAAAGACCCCGUGAACCUUUACUGUAGCUUUGCACUGGACUUUGAGCCUGCUUGUGUAGGAUAGGUGGGAGGCUUUGAAGCGUGGACGCCAGUUCGCGUGGAGCCAUCCUUGAAAUACCACCCUGGCAUGCUUGAGGUUCUAACUCUGGUCCGUAAUCCGGAUCGAGGACAGUGUAUGU
Molecule: ribosomal RNA, 1059 nt
Filed under: Pseudomonas aeruginosa PAb1
Lineage: Bacteria; Pseudomonadati; Pseudomonadota; Gammaproteobacteria; Pseudomonadales; Pseudomonadaceae
Description: bacterial LSU rRNA
Rfam family: Bacterial large subunit ribosomal RNA
Source: RNAcentral